AGCAUAGAGCCUUAACAGGAGCUCCCAGUCAGAACCUGAAGCCAGCCGUGGUCAAGAUCUAUGACUACUACCAGACAAGUGACCAGGCGUGAGACAGAAUACACUUUCCCUUGUGUUGCAGCUUGAAGAGUGAUGAGUGUUCGUCCUCACGUCGUUACUGAUUCCAGUAUAUUUUAAAAUUAAUUAAUUAAAGACACUUGUAUGUAACUUGUGAAUUUCCAUGUCUCUUCUGUAAACAUG
Molecule: long non-coding RNA, 240 nt
Organism: Larimichthys crocea (large yellow croaker)
Lineage: Eukaryota; Metazoa; Chordata; Actinopteri; Sciaenidae
Exons: 3
Source: RefSeq, a predicted model, not a curated record